CCUACGGGGGGCAGCAGUGAGGAAUAUUGGUCAAUGGACGAGAGUCUGAACCAGCCAAGUAGCGUGAAGGAUGACUGCCCUAUGGGUUGUAAACUUCUUUUAUAUGGGAAUAAAAUGUUCCACGUGUGGGCUUUUGUAUGUACCAUAUGAAUAAGGAUCGGCUAACUCCGUGCCAGCAGCCGCGGUAAUACGGAGGAUCCGAGCGUUAUCCGGAUUUAUUGGGUUUAAAGGGAGCGUAGGUGGAUUGUUAAGUCAGUUGUGAAAGUUUGCGGCUCAACCGUAAAAUUGCAGUUGAAACUGGCAGUCUUGAGUACAGUAGAGGUAGGCGGAAUUCGUGGUGUAGCGGUGAAAUGCUUAGAUAUCACGAAGAACUCCGAUUGCGAAGGCAGCUCACUGGACUGCAACUGACACUGAGGCUCGAAAGUGUGGGUAUCAAACAGGAUUAGAGACCCCUGUAGUC
RNAcentral lists this ribosomal RNA (460 nucleotides) under uncultured bacterium. RNAcentral describes it as "partial 16S ribosomal RNA". It matches the Rfam family "Bacterial small subunit ribosomal RNA", at positions 338 to 795 of the family's 1533-position model. The record is from RNAcentral.